AUAAGUUAAGAUAUAUUCAGAUAAAAUUAUAAAAUACUCAACUUAAACUAUUUUUUUUUUAUGGCUGGUAUAGGUAGAAAUUUAUUGGUAUAUAUGAAUGUAUACAUCAUGGCAUCAUGCACAUACUGAUUUCAUAGGUAAGAGAGCCCAUAAGAAAUUUUCAAAGAGUGAGACGUAUUGUCAUUAUUGUCGCCAUUGCCAAUUAUUUUGCUCUCAUCGAGGAUAACAAUAUCAAUAUUAUGCAAUGUGUAUUUUUAACAAUAAAAUUUUAUUAUUUGAUCCAUCUACUUAUUUAUAAGCAACUAAUUACAUAUAAUUUUAAAUUAAAAAUAUGUUUUGCAUAAAUUAUAUUUUGGCAUCGAAGAAAAUAGAAAUAAACAAUUUAAAGCUCAAAAUUGUAAAUUGUACUGCGCCCAUGAAUUAGUAAAUCAGGCGCUGCAGUAGCUUGUGUAGAAACUAUUAAUCAUCAAGUAUUGUAUGACAAUUUAUGUAUAACAAUAAUAUUAGAGAAUAAAUCACUAUUUAUUUUUCAAUAACAACAUAGGCUUCAUAAUAAUAUUGACAUUUUAAUUUUGUUCUUUAUUUUAUUUAUUUAUUUAUUUAUUUAUAGUUACAAGACAAAUACAUGAUAUAACAAACACAGAUAUUAACUAGGCAUUACUCUACACUGAGGUGAAACCUCGUGUCGUAGAGUAAGAGUACAUUUUUUUUUUUUUUUUUUAGUAGCCGUGAUAAUAAUGAAAGAUGGAAUUUCAUUUAAAGACCGUAAUCCAACUUGUAAGAAUGACAUCGAAGCUUUUUUAGUAACAACGAAAGGUAUUUCAAGAUUUGUUUUUCUGAAUUUGUAUGUUAGAUUUUUAAUAUUAAAUAAAUUAUUUUUGAAGAUGAAGCAAAUUGCUUGCUUUUUGUAUAAAUUGUCAAUAUCAAGCAGGGCCCCCACAUACAAUUUCGGGCCCCUGUACUAAAUGUUUGACCGGGCCCUUUAUAAGACUUCCAAAAAUACAAUUAACCAUCUAUCACAAUUUUUGGAAAAAUAUUAAUUUUUUUAUUAUACCACGGGCCCUUAAAAUAGCCGGGCCCCUGUACUCAAGGUCCAUCAGCCCCCCCCCAUGUGGGGGCCCUGAUAUCAAAACAUUUUAUAUAAUUCAGAUGAAGGAAAGGUUUUCUGUUUAUUUAGAAUGAUUUUAAUUAGGUUCUUUUGUCUUAUUGAUAAGUUGCAUUUUAUUGGGUAUUAUUAAUAACGUAUUUUUUCAGUACAAAAAAAUUUUGCUUUAUAAAAUGUCAAUAAGUUUCCAUCUUUUUAAUGAUACUGAAUUUUAAUUCUACAAUAGUUAAGUAAAGAAAAAUACAAAUUGUAUUUCCAAACAGCGACAAUUAUAGACGUGUUUAAAGUAAAAAUUGUAUGUCCUGCAUUUUAUUAAACAAUAUUGCUUAUUUGGUCACACUGCUUGAAAGCGGACCACUACUCUCUCCUUAACCAUGUAGGAUGGAGCUAACCCCCCGUGACAGCGACUGUCAGCCCUCUUUGACCCGCCUAUCAUACCUAUGACGGGGCCUAACACCGCGUGACAGCAGCCGCCGACAGCGCUCUGCAGUGGUCGCCAGCAAUUAGCUGUUACCGGUUUUUUCUACGGUAUGGCUUAUCUGUAUAUUAUAAAAUCAAUGCUAGUACCUAUUAAUACUACUAAAUCCAUAAAAAAAGUAAAACAUUGUAUCAGUUUAUAUUAAUUAUAUUAUUCACAUAUAUUAUUAAACUUUUAAUCGAAAUAGCAACAUACAGACAUAAUAUUUACUGUUUUUUCUUAGCUAUAGACUUCUGCGGAACUUGUUUUUAGCUUGAAAAUUAUUCAUUACAAUUUAUAUCGUGCAGUGAUUGCAAUGUCGUCUCUGUCAUUAAACAAUAAGUACGCAGUUUGAGGAUAUAACUUCAUCCAAUAAAUACAUUUUUUAAAUAAUAUAAAUACUGAACAUUUCUAUAAAAUAAAAAAUGACUAUAAGUCUAUAAACAUAAAAGUUAAUACAAUGCAAAUAAAUUAUGUAUUUUUUAAUUCUUUGAUACCUACAUAAAACGAAUUUUGUGAUUAGAAAACAUUGUUUUAGAACUUCCAGAAAAAAUUUAAUUCGAAUCUUAUCUACCUACUGUUUAGUGUUUACUGAGUUGUACGUCAGAACAAAGAAUAUAUAUCAAAGACAAAAAUACAAAAACAAAUCCACUUGGAAAAAUUCUUAUUAAUAAAACCAAAUUUAUAUAUUUUUCUUUUGGACAUAAGUUUUAAUUAUAAACGUAAAUCAAUAGUUAUUGUGAUUAAAAAUAUGUACCUAGGUACCUAUAGAGCAGGUAUCUAAAAAUGUAUUUAAAUUUUAAGUAUAUAAUAGGUUUUGUUUUCUUAGUUUAUGUUUAUCGUACAUUUACAUUGUAAAAUAACUGUAUUUUUUUUUAUUUAUAUGUUGACACUUGACAUAUUAUAU
Aphis gossypii (cotton aphid) is the source of this 2469-nucleotide long non-coding RNA. RefSeq lists it as uncharacterized. The record is from RefSeq and is a predicted model, not a curated record. Lineage: Eukaryota; Metazoa; Arthropoda; Insecta; Hemiptera; Aphididae. The transcript has 4 exons.